Molecule: long non-coding RNA, 882 nt
Organism: Cloeon dipterum
Lineage: Eukaryota; Metazoa; Arthropoda; Insecta; Ephemeroptera; Baetidae
Exons: 2
Source: RefSeq, a predicted model, not a curated record
GCAGGGCCGAACGGAGUCGUACUUCGCGCGCCCGAAAAAACAAGUUCGCGAGCGCCACCUCGUGGCGCUGAGCGAAAGCUGUUAAGGGCCCUUAGUGCCUAUCCUUUAGUUAGGCGAGGUAUAGGUUUGAGUGCAACGAUUGGCUUCUGGGCUGAAACUUCGACGUAAUUGGCCAAGGGGACUGGGAUGAUCGACUUCGCAUCCGUCGACAAGCAUUUUUAUAGCCAUUCAGCCGUGGAUACGGCCGAAACUAAGCGUAAACGUGAAGAGGGGCGUGUGCAUCAGUGAGCCUGCAGAUGUUUGUUUACAUCGUUCAUUCGCCCCGAUUUCGGCUCGGCAAGACCGUUAACGAGUCGAUUUCGGCGCCGAAAACGUCGGCAAUUAAGUGCCGACGUUUUACCGACAGGGUACGGCGUUUGGUGUCGGCGUUAUCUCCUGCAAGUCCGUGGUCGCUGAUUUCUUUCGCCGGGAUGAAGCUUCAUCGGGAAUUUACGUUUACGGAGGACAUCAACUACGGACAGGGGCAGCAGGACAAAACUGAUCAAGCUGGAGGACAGAGGAGUGCCGUCCAAGCUGCAGCCUCAGGUGCAGCAGCUGAUGAAGAAGACUCAGGCCAUGAAGAAGGAGACUCUCCUCGAGUUUGAGCUCGUCCUGGAAAGAAUGUCGCUCGGCAAGCUGACCCAGAAGCAGGCUGCAAGCGGCCAACUAGGAGCUGUCCAAACUGCAGGAAUCUGCGCACUGUUCUUGUUUUUGUGUUUUUUAAGAAUCCUUUUAAUUGCCUAGUUUUUUCCGUCAUUUUCACAAAAACAAGAACAGAAUCAGCAACUCAAUGAAAACUGCUUGCUUUUUUACAGAGAGAACCAAUAAAAAAUUAAAAUAUUU